GACGAACGCUGGCGGCGUGCCUAAUACAUGCAAGUCGAACGCAUUUUCUUUCACCGUAGCUUGCUACACCGAAAGAAAGUGAGUGGCGAAAGGGUGAGUAACCCGUGGGUAACCUGCCCAUCAGCGGGGGAUAACCCUUGGUAACAGGUGCUAAUACCGCAUACUUCCAUUUACUGCAUGGUAGAUGGGUGAAAGGCGCUUUUGUGGCACUGACGGAUGGACCUGCGGUGCAUUAGCUAGUUGGUGAGGUAACGGCCUACCAUGGCUACGAUGCAUAGCCGACCUGAGAGUGUGAUAGGCGACACUGGAACUGAGCCACGGUCCAGACUCCUACGGGAGGCAGCAGUCGGGAAUCUUCCGCAAUGGGCGAAAGCCUGACGGAGCAACGCAGCGUGAGUGAUGAAGGUCUUCGGAUCGUAAAACUCUGUUAUUAGGGAAGAACAUAUGUGUAAGUAACUGUGCACAUCUUGACGGUACCUAAUCAGAAAGCCACGGCUAACUACGUG
Molecule: ribosomal RNA, 506 nt
Filed under: uncultured bacterium
Lineage: Bacteria
Description: partial 16S ribosomal RNA
Rfam family: Bacterial small subunit ribosomal RNA
Source: RNAcentral